RNAcentral lists this long non-coding RNA (262 nucleotides) under Fukomys damarensis (Damara mole-rat). RNAcentral's name for it is "lncRNA (ENSFDAG00000024142.1)". The record is from RNAcentral. Lineage: Eukaryota; Metazoa; Chordata; Mammalia; Rodentia; Bathyergidae.
AGGGAACCAGCCCCGGCUCAAGAGGUCCUUUCCUUCCACGGACCCAAGCAGUGGGAGCACCGGGUGAUGGGAUCUGGACCUUGGUACUCACUUUUUCUCCAGGCCUGGCACGGAACCUGCCACACUUUAAUCCUCAUGAACGUGUGACCGGUGGACAAAUGAGGAAGAGUCCAGAAGCCCAAGAUGGAAGCCACAUUGAUAGAGGCGGGCUUUCCUGGUGAGGUGAGAUUUGGGUGGGCCUUGAGGAUAAGUAGGAGUUUAC